ACUGGAUGUAUUGGGUGGUGGUUACCACAGUGUGACUGACAGCUAGUACCGUCCAAUGGGUGCAGGUGUAGGUGGGCGUGCAGGGUCCUCUCAGUCAGGCUCCACCCCCCGCUCCUCUAAAUAUGGUCACGGUGGGUUGAUAUUUGACCUUGAGACGUUGGUGAUGCAGCAGAAUCGUUCCUGUCAUCAGAGUUUCACAUGCAUGUCAGAGCUGUUUCAGCUCCAAUAACGACACGUGUGUUUUAUUCUAUUUUCACUGCCCGUCUCUGAAUCUGUCAUGUUUAAUUUUUCCAGAAUCUACAUCGUUCAUGACGAAGUGAAGGACAAAGCGUUUGAGCUGGAGCUCAGCUGGGUCGGAGAAAUCACAAAUGGACGUCACGAGCUGGUACCUAAAGAUGUUCGAGAGGAAGCAGAGAAAUACGCCAAGGAUUCUUUAGAGGAGGACGACGACUCUGAUGAAGACAACAUGUAAACCCCCUCGUCCCUGCCGACAUCUCGGACUCUGCCCUCAAUCUUUUAUAUUGUCCACCUUUGAUUUGAGAAAAAUAAAUAAAGUCUGAAAACAGUU
Long non-coding RNA from Hippoglossus stenolepis (Pacific halibut), 568 nucleotides. RefSeq lists it as uncharacterized. NCBI's taxonomy places the organism in Eukaryota, Metazoa, Chordata, Actinopteri, Pleuronectiformes, Pleuronectidae. The transcript is spliced from 3 exons. The record is from RefSeq and is a predicted model, not a curated record.